AUUGCACAUCAGCUGUAAGGGGUUGUAGCACAUUCCCAAGGGCUAAUUCUCUGGAUUUGUCUAUAGGAUCCAGUGGACAUAAAGAGCAGCGCAGAGCCUGAGCCAGAGCCGGAGCCGGAGGCAGCAGCUCUCGAACCCAGUCCUGUGGAAGCCGCAGAAGAAAACAACCCGUCAGAGGAGGUCAAAGCAACAGAAAAGACAGUUAUGAACUUUUUCAAAACAUUUGUCACUCCGACCAAAACAAGCAAAGAAGCCAAAGCCACUCCAGAUGCUUCAAAAGAGCAGCCACAGAAAGAGACCCCAUCAGCACCAUCAACAAAUGUACAGGAAGCACCCAAGGCACCUCCUCCUCCUCCCCCAGCACCACCUAAGAUGGAAAGCAAAGCAGAGCCGGUGGUGAAGAAAGAGGAAACGUCUUCAACAAAAGCAGUAGCAGCAGCUGCAACAAAAGCAGAGGGAUCUGCCAAGAGCAAAACCAAAGACAGUGCAUUAAGCAAACUCUUCCGUUCAAAGCCUGUUGUGGUGGAAGAGAAAAAGCCGGUUGAGGUGCAGGUCGAUGCGUCUAAGACCAGCACUCUUGAGGCCGCUGCCAAACCUGAAGAACCUCCGGCGCCAAAACCAGAGGAGAAGAAACUAGAAAAGAAAUCCACUUUUGGAAACAUGUUCAAACCCAAGGUUCUGCUCGGCAAGGUGAGCAGCAGGAUCCAGGCCGCGGCGUCCAGCGCUGCCGCCAGCAUCUCCCACAUGUCUGCUGCAGCGGCACCAGAGCCCAAGAAGGACACUCCAGCUGCUCCUCCCGUGGCAGAAGCCGCUCCACCCGCAAAGGCCAAAGAGGAGCCGAGACCCACCACUCCUGCACAGCAAGCGGUCCCGGACAACAAAUCAGCCGACAGCACAGGGAACGCCUCCCCCAACAUGCCCCACAAGCUGGAGAAGAGGAACUCCCUCCAGCUGUUCUUCAAAAACCUGGUUAAGUAGAAACCCAGAGAUUCUCCAGGGCUAGGUAUUCCACCCACACAACUGUGGGAGCAUUCGCAAGCUGUGUAGUUUAACUCUUCAGUUGUAUGUAGUUUGCCAGUUAAAUGCUGUCGAGAAACGUUUUCUGAUGUCUAACCAUCCUGAUUAUUUCGAUAUUGCUGGCUAUUAAUCUUAAAACAGUGAUCUUUGAGGUGAGGAAUUAAAAAUACAAAAAUCAAGAUUUACAGUGUAUGACCACUAGAGGGACUCAAUUAUCAACCUAUCUAGAUUAUUCGAUCAGUUCCAUAGCAGCUUAUUUGUGUUGCGUUUUAAUAAACUGUAAUAAAUAUUUUAAAUUAUUUAAUUAAACUGGGCACUAAAAUUUAGCAUGUAAUUUUUUUUUAUUGCAUGAAAUCUCAAUCUCAUCAUCUAAUAUGUAAUUCUAAUCUUUGUUACGAUAUAUAUAACUUCUUCAUAAAUAAAAAAUACUUUUUGUCAUGUAAUAUAAUUGUAUCUAUCCACAAUUAUGGUUAUUUCAAGCGGGAUCAUCCCUGAUAAUGUAUCUCGGACAAAAGGUUGAUGACAACUAAAUGAUCUCAGAUAAUAAAGCACACAAAUUCACCAAAGCUGCGCUUUAAAGACGUGUUGGAGCAAGAUCCGCUUUUGCAAAUAAAGACCCAGUUGUCAAACGGGUUUUGCUUCAGGCACCAUUACAGACGAGCAGUAAAACCACACACUUUCUUGCUAAGUUAGGAUCACUAAUGUUGCAUUAUGCGUUGGUGUGUCUCACAGGGCCAAAAACGCCAUUCUGAUGCCGGAGUGCAAACGGACCCUGUGGCACCCGAGAAGGCCAAAUAAAACCCCGCCUUUGUUUUGAUCGCUCAUCUGUGCCAAAACCAUUGGCAGCCAUGCACAUAAGAACAUAUUUACCAAAGUUGGGAGGUAUUAUGCUGACUUGCAAGGCCCAAGUUUGAAGUAACUAUCAAAUAAUAAUCUGAAUUCCCAUGCAUUUAAUGAGAGCAGAAGUAAGUGUAACGAUUUCCCUGUUAAGCAAGUGCUACAUGUGUUUAUGACCGGAGGGAGGAACUCGUGUUGUUUUUCAGAGAGAAACGUGUCAGAGUUGCGUGGUGUGGCAUGAGAUGGAAAAGUGAAAGUGAAAAUGUAAUCCUGCAUUGAAGAUAAACUCCCUUUUUUAUGUGCAUGUUAAAAUGUAAAAUAUGUUAACUAUACUAACACUACUUAUAUUGCAUCACACAUUAAAGCCGAUGCAUUAAGAUGCCUUUUCACCGGGACAAAGAUAACAUCAUGCGCGUUUGCAUGUGAAAAGAAUUUAUUUAUGUAAUCAUACACUGUCAUCUGAUUAUGAAUACAAUGACCCAUCGUCUGCUGAAUUCAAUCACUGAAACCUACAAAGCCAAUUUGAAUUCCACUUAAAGUGCAAAACUUCUGAAUCACUUUAAUAAAUCCAUAGAAAUCACAAUUAUUUAUUUAACAUAAUGUCAAUCAAAUUGAGCACCAUAUAUUAUUACUCCAAAUUAUUCGGUUAUUUAAGUUCAGCCCAGUUUCUAUUUAAAAAAUAAUAAUUGUUUUCAUUUCUACAAUUGUUUAUUAAUCAUAACUUACUAACUAAACCACAUUACAAUUAUUGUCUUUUUAUUUGCUUGGCCGUCCAUUUCUGACCGGAGGAGACUAAAAAGAAAUUAAGCUAGUUAAAUGUUUUAUUUUCUUUCUUAUUUUCCGAACAUAUCAGUUGUUAUUAGAACAGUAUGAAAUAAAUAUGUGGUAUACAGUUAUGCAAUAUACAAUGUACAUUCAAUUUAGCUGCAGUCACAUGUGUUUUAUGAUUUUCUUCCUAAUUAUCGCUACAUUUGUAAAGAGUAGAUGGGCCUAAUUAAGAAUUCAGACUGUAUCCAUGAAUCUUAGACUUUCUGUAACUCCUUUGUUGCAUUUUUGUCUAUUUAACCAAUUUAUAAAAAUAAAAGAAUCAUUUCUCUCCUC
Long non-coding RNA from Cyprinus carpio carpio, 2955 nucleotides. NCBI's taxonomy places the organism in Eukaryota, Metazoa, Chordata, Actinopteri, Cypriniformes, Cyprinidae. The record is from Ensembl.